RNAcentral lists this ribosomal RNA (274 nucleotides) under uncultured bacterium. RNAcentral's name for it is "partial 16S ribosomal RNA". It matches the Rfam family "Bacterial small subunit ribosomal RNA", at positions 523 to 796 of the family's 1533-position model. The record is from RNAcentral.
AUACGGAGGGUGCAAGCGUUACUCGGAAUCACUGGGCGUAAAGCGCGCGCAGGCGGUCUUUUAAGUUGGAUGUGAAAGCCUACGGCUCAACCGUAGAACUGCAUCCAAAACUAUUAGACUAGAGUGUGGGAGAGGAAGAUGGAAUUAGUUGUGUAGGGGUAAAAUACGUAGAGAUAACUAGGAAUACCAAAAGCGAAGGCAAUCUUCUGGAACACUUCUGACGCUGAGGCGCGAAAGCGUGGGGAGCAAACAGGAUUAGAAACCCUAGUAGUCC